Molecule: ribosomal RNA, 822 nt
Filed under: uncultured bacterium
Lineage: Bacteria
Description: bacterial SSU rRNA
Rfam family: Bacterial small subunit ribosomal RNA
Source: RNAcentral
AGACUGGGAUAACUUCGGGAAACCGGAGCUAAUACCGGAUAAUCCUUUCCCUCACAUGAGGGAAAGCUGAAAGACGGUUUCGGCUGUCACUUACAGAUGGGCCCGCGGCGCAUUAGCUAGUUGGUGAGGUAACGGCUCACCAAGGCAACGAUGCGUAGCCGACCUGAGAGGGUGAUCGGCCACACUGGGACUGAGACACGGCCCAGACUCCUACGGGAGGCAGCAGUAGGGAAUCUUCCGCAAUGGACGAAAGUCUGACGGAGCAACGCCGCGUGAACGAUGAAGGCUUUCGGGUCGUAAAGUUCUGUUGUUAGGGAAGAACAAGUACCGGAGUAACUGCCGGUACCUUGACGGUACCUAACCAGAAAGCCACGGCUAACUACGUGCCAGCAGCCGCGGUAAUACGUAGGUGGCAAGCGUUGUCCGGAAUUAUUGGGCGUAAAGCGCGCGCAGGCGGUUCCUUAAGUCUGAUGUGAAAGCCCCCGGCUCAACCGGGGAGGGUCAUUGGAAACUGGGGAACUUGAGUGCAGAAGAGGAGAGCGGAAUUCCACGUGUAGCGGUGAAAUGCGUAGAGAUGUGGAGGAACACCAGUGGCGAAGGCGGCUCUCUGGUCUGUAACUGACGCUGAGGCGCGAAAGCGUGGGGAGCGAACAGGACUAGAUACACUGGUAGUCCACGCCGUAAACGAUGAGUGCUAAGUGUUAGAGGGUUUCCGCCCUUUAGUGCUGCAGCAAACGCAUUAAGCACUCCGCCUGGGGAGUACGGCCGCAAGGCUGAAACUCAAAGGAAUUGACGGGGGCCCGCACAAGCGGUGGAGCAUGU